RNAcentral lists this ribosomal RNA (151 nucleotides) under Virgibacillus proomii. Its description in RNAcentral is "partial 16S ribosomal RNA". Lineage: Bacteria; Bacillati; Bacillota; Bacilli; Caryophanales; Bacillaceae. The record is from RNAcentral.
UUCAAUGCAGCAGUCUGAUGCAGCAUGCGCGUGAGUGAAGAAGGUUUCGGACGUAAAGCUCUGUUGUAGGGAAGAACAAGUGCCGGUCAAAUAGGGCGGUACCUUGACGGUACCUAACCAGAAAGCCCCGGUUAAUUACGGGCCAGCGGCC